CUAAACGACUCUCGGCAACGGAUAUCUCGGCUCUCGCAUCGAUGAAGAACGUAGCGAAAUGCGAUACUUGGUGUGAAUUGCAGAAUCCCGCGAACCAUCGAGUCUUUGAACGCAAGUUGCGCCCGAAGCCUCACGGCCGAGGGCACGCCUGCCUGGGCGUCACGCA
This 166-nucleotide ribosomal RNA is filed under the name Cycnium adonense. RNAcentral describes it as "5.8S ribosomal RNA". It matches the Rfam family "5.8S ribosomal RNA". From Rfam's summary of the family: 5.8S ribosomal RNA (5.8S rRNA) is a component of the large subunit of the eukaryotic ribosome. It is transcribed by RNA polymerase I as part of the 45S precursor that also contains 18S and 28S rRNA. The record is from RNAcentral. Lineage: Eukaryota; Viridiplantae; Streptophyta; Magnoliopsida; Lamiales; Orobanchaceae.